AGAGUUUGAUCCUGGCUCAGAACGAAUGCUGGCGGCGUGGAUAAGACAUGCAAGUCGAACGAGAGAAUUGCUAGCUUGCUAAUAAUUCUCUAGUGGCGCACGGGUGAGUAACACGUGAGUAACCUGCCCCCGAGAGCGGGAUAGCCCUGGGAAACUGGGAUUAAUACCGCAUAGUAUCGAAAGAUUAAAGCAGCAAUGCGCUUGGGGAUGGGCUCGCGGCCUAUUAGUUAGUUGGUGAGGUAACGGCUCACCAAGGCGAUGACGGGUAGCCGGUCUGAGAGGAUGUCCGGCCACAUUGGAACUGAGACACGGUCCAGACACCUACGGGUGGCAGCAGUCGAGAAUCAUUCACAAUGGGGGAAACCCUGAUGGUGCGACGCCGCGUGGGGGAAUGAAGGUCUUCGGAUUGUAAACCCCUGUCAUGUGGGAGCAAAUUAAAAAGAUAGUACCACAAGAGGAAGAGACGGCUAACUCUGUGCCAGCAGCCGCGGUAAUACAGAGGUCUCAAGCGUUGUUCGGAAUCACUGGGCGUAAAGCGUGCGUAGGCUGUUUCGUAAGUCGUGUGUGAAAGGCGCGGGCUCAACCCGCGGACGGCACAUGAUACUGCGAGACUAGAGUAAUGGAGGGGGAACCGGAAUUCUCGGUGUAGCAGUGAAAUGCGUAGAUAUCGAGAGGAACACUCGUGGCGAAGGCGGGUUCCUGGACAUUAACUGACGCUGAGGCGCGAAGGCCAGGGGAGCGAAAGGGAUUAGAUACCCCUGUAGUCCUGGCAGUAAACGGUGCACGCUUGGUGUGCGGGGAAUCGACCCCCUGCGUGCCGGAGCUAACGCGUUAAGCGUGCCGCCUGGGGAGUACGGUCGCAAGAUUAAAACUCAAAGAAAUUGACGGGGACCCGCACAAGCGGUGGAGUAUGUGGCUUAAUUCGAUGCAACGCGAAGAACCUUACCUGGGCUUGACAUGUAAUGAACAACAUGUGAAAGCAUGCGACUCUUCGGAGGCGUUACACAGGUGCUGCAUGGCCGUCGUCAGCUCGUGUCGUGAGAUGUUUGGUUAAGUCCAGCAACGAGCGCAACCCCUGUUGCCAGUUACCAGCACGUGAAGGUGGGGACUCUGGCGAGACUGCCCAGACCAACUGGGAGGAAGGUGGGGACGACGUCAGGUCAGUAUGGCCCUUAUGCCCAGGGCUGCACACGUACUACAAUGCCCAGUACAGAGGGGGCCGAAGCCGCGAGGCGGAGGAAAUCCUAAAAACUGGGCCCAGUUCGGACUGUAGGCUGCAACCCGCCUACACGAAGCCGGAAUCGCUAGUAAUGGCGCAUCAGCUACGGCGCCGUGAAUACGUUCCCGGGUCUUGCACUCACCGCCCGUCA
This 1370-nucleotide ribosomal RNA is filed under the name uncultured bacterium. RNAcentral's name for it is "bacterial SSU rRNA". It matches the Rfam family "Bacterial small subunit ribosomal RNA". The record is from RNAcentral.